RNAcentral lists this ribosomal RNA (206 nucleotides) under Escherichia coli. RNAcentral describes it as "partial 16S ribosomal RNA". It matches the Rfam family "Bacterial small subunit ribosomal RNA", at positions 1 to 214 of the family's 1533-position model. The record is from RNAcentral. Lineage: Bacteria; Pseudomonadati; Pseudomonadota; Gammaproteobacteria; Enterobacterales; Enterobacteriaceae.
AAAUUGAAGAGUUUGAUCAUGGCUCAGAUUGAACGCUGGCGGCAGGCCUAACACAUGCAAGUCGAACGGUAACAGGAAUCAGCUUGCUGAUUUGCUGACGAGUGGCGGACGGGUGAGUAAUGUCUGGGAAACUGCCUGAUGGAGGGGGAUAACUACUGGAAACGGUAGCUAAUACCGCAUAACGUCGCAAGACCAAAGAGGGGGAC